Oncorhynchus tshawytscha (Chinook salmon) is the source of this 1278-nucleotide long non-coding RNA. NCBI's taxonomy places the organism in Eukaryota, Metazoa, Chordata, Actinopteri, Salmoniformes, Salmonidae. The record is from Ensembl.
AAAGUAGGGAUAGGGAGCACUGCAGUAGAGUCUUUAUUUUUUCAGUCCUCGACUCAGACCCGGGAUCAAUCCAACCUCGUCCCAGUGGCAGAGGAGAAAAUUAUUCCUGGGACCCCAGCCUUUCUCCAAUCUUCGGACACUCCAAUGUCAGGCUCCUAUGUCAGUGUGGCCAGCAACCCCAUCCUCAGUAUGGAGGAGCACUUCCAUAUCGCUAGAGAGGGCUGGGACUUCAUGGAGGAAGACUCUCGUGCCUCUGAGCCAGACCUGGACUUCUGCAACAACAUGUCUGAGUACGACAGUGAACUCUGCUUGGGCUACGAAGCUUCGUCCUGUAGUUUAUUGGAAGACAUGCAAGAUCAUGUUCAACUAGAGCAUAUGAUGAGUGGGAACAACAUUCGUCCCAUGAGGUCUGAGGACAAGUCAGCCCACCAGCUGUAUGAUGAGGUCAACAGGAGGGACACGGGGGUUAGGGUGGUUGCCAAGGGGCAGGAGAUGGAGGGCACAGUGCAACAUGUUGGCCAUAUUCGCCCAGACUGGUCCAAAGAGUUCUAUCCAGAGACUGAAUCAGAUGUACCUCAGCCAGGGAUGAGGAGCUGUCAGCAGGGGUAUGGGGAGUGGAGGAGUCUAAACAGGGACAUUAAAGAUACGGGAGGGACCAAACCUUCAGAGGGGCUGCAGCUGCAUCUCUCACUUCCUGUUGAGGCCUCCUCUAUCAAAUUCCACAGGAAAAGCCCCUCUUCACCCUCUCUGAGUGGGGUGUUCAACACCUCCUACCCUGCCACCAACAGUCUGCAGAGCAUGUCCCCAGUGCUGUCUCCCCUAUCGCACAAGCUCCCCAGUCCUAAGCUCAACCACCGCAUCCUGCUCCUCUCUGACGUUGACGUUGGCCAGCGGACGGACAGUGACAGCCCCAUGACUGGAUCCGAAGAGGAGCCCAAAGUCACCACAGAGGUCAUAGAUAAGAAUGGCAACAAGCGGACCAUCACACGGCUGGACCUGAACCUCAGCAGACUACCAGGGACUUCCAAAUGGAAUUUAAAUGGCCUAUCUACGGCAACAGACAUACUACGUUACCUACCGGCUGGACAGUCCUAACCAAAGCUAAUCAAGACAAGAAUUAGAAAAAUUCCAACUGAACUGUCAACAAUCUAACUCAACUGUACUGUGAUUCAAUCCAUCUGAACAACCUUACAUGCAAUGUACCAUCAUCUAAAUAUAAAGUUUCAGGUCAUAGACAUUAACAUAAUGGAUGAGCUGUAGAUUACAUUGAGCCAUGGG